UACGUAGGGUGCGAGCGUUGUCCGGGAUUAUUGGGCGUAAAGAGCUUGUAGGCGGUUUGUCGCGUCUGCUGUGAAAAUCCGAGGCUCAACCUCGGACUUGCAGUGGGUACGGGCAGACUAGAGUGUGGUAGGGGAGACUGGAAUUCCUGGUGUAGCGGUGAAAUGCGCAGAUAUCAGGAGGAACACCGAUGGCGAAGGCAGGUCUCUGGGCCUUACCUGACGCUGAGGCGCGAAAGCUAGGGGAGCGAACAGG
This 253-nucleotide ribosomal RNA is filed under the name uncultured bacterium. Its description in RNAcentral is "partial 16S ribosomal RNA". It matches the Rfam family "Bacterial small subunit ribosomal RNA", at positions 524 to 776 of the family's 1533-position model. The record is from RNAcentral.